UACGUAGGUGGCAAGCGUUGUCCGGAUUUACUGGGCGUAAAGAGCGCGCAGGCGGUCGUUCAAGUCGGGUGUGAAAGCCCCCGGCUCAACUGGGGAGGGUCACGCGAUACUGAUCGACUCGAAGGCAGGAGAGGGUAGUGGAAUUCCCGGUGUAGUGGUGAAAUGCGUAGAUAUCGGGAGGAACACCAGUGGCGAAGGCGACUACCUGGCCUGUUCUUGACGCUGAGGCGCGAAAGCUGGGGGAGCAAACGGG
This 253-nucleotide ribosomal RNA is filed under the name uncultured bacterium. Its description in RNAcentral is "partial 16S ribosomal RNA". It matches the Rfam family "Bacterial small subunit ribosomal RNA", at positions 524 to 776 of the family's 1533-position model. The record is from RNAcentral.